GGGGGGGGGGUGAUAAAAUGGGUGGAAGAAAGUAAAUGAAAUGAGGGCAGUGCUAAUUGUGAAUUCUUAUUAAUAUAAAAAAGUUAUUUGUUUCUUAUCUUGGAGUGUUUUGGCAUAGGGCUAGAUGAGGCACCUGUGCUCGUCGUGCCCUAGUUUUCCAUGGUACCAUAUGCUGUGGCAUGUUGAUCAUAUGACAGGGUUAUGGGUUCAUUCCAGUAUGUAUUUGUGCACACUGUACAGCAAAUGUACUUCAAUCCAUGUGUUCAAGGUAUCUCAAAUUUUCUCUGCAGCGCUUUAUAUUGGAUAUCUUUCUUCAUAUAUCAUGGUGGUAUCAUGGUGAUCAUUUGACAGGGUUAUGGGUCCAUUUCAUUUUGUAUUUGUGCAUACUGUACAGCAAAUGUACUUCAUCCUUGUGUUCAAGGUAUCUUGUCUCUCAUAUGCUGUGCUUUAUCUUGGAUAUCUUCAUAUAUCGUGGUGGGCAGCAAUGAGUAGAUUCUGUAUUACAGAGCAUCGAUAUUUUACUGCAUCGUAGUGUAAUAGCAGAAUGCUUAAUGUUAGCGUGGAACAAAUCCGAGACAUAUUGCUCAUGUCCUAAUUAGAAUAGCUAGAGAAUGGCUCUUUGACAAGGUUUUGAUAUGGCCCAAAAUCCAUACCAUACUCUGACUUUAGUUACAGGAUAGCAAAUUGUCUUUGACAUCCUUUGGAUGCACAAGUACAGAUCAGUAGUGACAAGACUAAAUUCUACAACCAGUGACUUGUGAUAUUUGGCCUUUAAUCUACAACCAGUGACUUGUGAUAUUUGGCCUUUUAUUUAAAGAAAUACUUUAUGAAACAAAUGCUAAUAUUCUGUAUAGGUGGAAUUCUUCAUGAUGUAUUUCUGAGUCCUGUGUUUACAUGCACAAAUGGUUUUGAAAACUAAGAUCAUCAUUCUUUUAGUUGUGUAAUUUCUUCCCCCUCACUCCAGCAAUCUAAUUUCUGUUGUAUAUGCUGCUUUCCAUAUUCUUAGGAUGUAGCAUUGUUUAAUUGUUGUUUCCGUUCUUUCGAAAUGAUGUUUCCGAGUUCUUAUAAUAUCUUUUUUUAACAUUCGCUAUUAAGAAUGCUUGCAAUUAAUUAUUGUGCAUUUGGUUAUAAGUUCCAAUUUUUGUUGCAGCUGAACACGUUGGUAGUUAUAUUUUCUUUUGGUUGCCAUUGUCAAGGAUUUAGAUAACAGACAUCUAAAAAUACCACUAUCACAAAACAACAAUGCCAUCUUAAUAUAUGAUAUGAAUUGUAAUUUUGAAAAGGCCCCUGUAAUAGAUCUGUCUGGCAUGCUCACUGGCAUAUCACACGAUUUGAAUAUCAAUGCAUGCACUCAUGCGCCUGUUCAUUUGUCCAUUAUUU
Molecule: long non-coding RNA, 1380 nt
Filed under: Phoenix dactylifera (date palm)
Lineage: Eukaryota; Viridiplantae; Streptophyta; Magnoliopsida; Arecales; Arecaceae
Description: long non-coding RNA (PDAC_LNC001924)
Source: RNAcentral